AUUACGAGGCUUGUUCUGUGUUCAUGUUGGCAGGACUGUAACCUUAGCUAAUGAUCGAUGUUUUCAUGUUGGUAAGACCGUAACCUUGGCUUCUGUUCGGUGUAUAAUGUUGGUACGGCAGUCAUGGCCUCUCUUCUGCCCUGUUCCUUCGUCGACGGAGGUCACUACAAGUUCUGUAUGAGUUCGAAGUUUGUUUUAAUAAAUAAAUAGUCCACUGUAGUGGGACAUACGCCCAUUCAAGGAAGAAUUCUCUACGCGGAGUCCGGUAGCUGUCAAGAACGCAACGCAUGACAACAAAUACUGUGUCACAGAGAGAAUUUUAUCGCGAUCAAAACAGCGUUUACGAACGACAACAGAGAACUGGAGCUGUUCCAGAAGGUUCGCAGUGUGCUCAACAAACGCACGCCUUAGAAGUUUGACAGACUUGUUUCCCAGGUCCAGGCUCUGCCAAUUGACAGCAGCGAUCGCCUGAAGGGUGUCACCGACGUCAUAUUUGAAAAGAUUAUCCACACUCCUGCAGUAAAAGCGAGGGCAUAACUCUGAUAGCCGACAUCCACAUGCGAGUUGAAGUGCCUUCAAGAGAGCUGGUAUUUUAGAAGUCCCAGACGAGCGUCCAGGACUCCUGACGUGGGGUGUGGUAUUGUUUCACAACCUUACCAUUGUUUGAAUGGACCACUUGGGUUGUACUAGGAGUCAUCUCUGUUUGGGGUAAUAUAACAUUACAAAUUACAUCAAAUACUUGGUGGCUGUAUAAUGAGUUGCCACUCAAAAUGCAGUGUAUUGCAUUAAAUACAAGUGACCACUGCCACAAGUUAUAUAUUUGAGAUAACUUACCCAUUAAGCUUGUUUCAGAACAUGGUCCUAAAGGUGAUAUUUGGAACAAAGAAAAUAGUAACAGGAAAAUCAUACAGAAUGAGAUUUAUGAUUUGUACGCUUAUCCUGAUGAUGUUAUAGCAAUUAAAUCAAGGGAAUGAGAUGUUAGGACCAUAUAGCACUCACAGGAAAGAUGAUAGGAGUGUACAAAAUUUUAAUUUGAAAGUUUUUAGAGAAGAGUGCAAUGGAAAGACAUAGGCACAGAUAAGAGGAUAACAUUAGAUUGGAUUGCACAGAGAAACAGUGUGAAUUGGCUGAGGAUUUGGUACAGUGGUGGACUACUGUGAGCAUGGUUCUCAAUCUUCAUUUUCCGUCAAAAUAGCAAAUAUCUUGACUUUCUUGAGUUAUGUACUGUCAACAUCUCAGGAAUGGCUGCACCACGGAGUAUUUAAUAUCUGGACGCAAAAUUACAGCACACUUUCUAGCAGUCAACUAUUUUACAUAAACCUAAGCUAGUUUUAUCUGCCUCCCAUCUUCACAGAGUACAGGGAUACAUUCAGUCAGUCAGGUGCUGCUUUUCAGGUUUUCUAACCAGAAAUUCUGUAUGCAUUUUUGUGUGGUGGUAGUACUUCAUUCCUAACUCAGACUCUGCCCCUACGACUGUGACUGUGUAAUUUUAAGUUUAGUUCCAUGCAGUAAAUGCUAGAACAAGAUUAAAUUUUCAACAGCCCUCUGAACUAACCACCUCCAUGGAGCAGUCAUCCUUGAUAAGUUCAUAGUACACUCAGCUAUUCAAGAAAUGAAGCUGAAGCUUCAUUGCCAUGUUCACAAGUGCCCACCACUGGUCCCUCUUCUGAGCCAGAUGAAUCCAGUCCACACCUCCGACUCCUGUUUUCCUAAUAUCCAUUGUGAUAUCUUUCAUAGUCUUCACAGAUAUUAAGUAAAUUGCUAGCUAAUUACUUUGGCUGGUUGUGGAAGUUGCCAUCUGGGUGGUACAUACAGCACUUUAAAAUAUAACAUGUCAUUAUGUAUUUUACCUUACUACCAUUCAUGAUUAUGAGCCGGGAUAGCUCAGUCAGUAUAGUGACUGGCUACGGGCUGGACGACCGGGAUU
Long non-coding RNA from Zootermopsis nevadensis, 1927 nucleotides. RefSeq lists it as uncharacterized. NCBI's taxonomy places the organism in Eukaryota, Metazoa, Arthropoda, Insecta, Blattodea, Termopsidae. The record is from RefSeq and is a predicted model, not a curated record.